UGGGCGUAAGGGCUCGCAGGCGGUUUCUUAAGUCUGAUGUGAAAGCCCCCGGCUCAUCCGGGGAGGGUCAUUGGAAACUGGGAAACUUGAGUGCAGACUAGGAGAGUGGAAUUCCACGUGUAGCGGUGAAAUGCGUAGAGAUGUGGAGGAACACCAGUGGCGAAGGCGACUCUCUGGUCUGUAACUGACGCUGAGGAGCGAAAGCGUGGGGAGCGAACAGGAUUAGAUACCCUGGUAGUCCACGCCGUAAACGAUGAGUGCUAAGUGUUAGGGGGUUUCCGCCCCUUAGUGCUGCAGCUAACGCAUUAAGCACUCCGCCUGGGGAGUACGGUCGCAAGACUGAAACUCAAAGGAAUUGACGGGGGCCCGCACAAGCGGUGGAGCAUGUGGUUUAAUUCGAAGCAACGCGAAGAACCUUACCAGGUCUUGACAUCCUCUGACAAGGGGGGAGAUAGGGCUUUCCCUUCGGGGACAGAGUGACAGGUGGUGCAUGGUUGUCGUCAGCUCGUGUCGUGAGAUGUUGGGUUAAGUCCCGCAACGAGCGCAACCCUUGAUCUUAGUUGCCAGCAUUCAGUUGGGCACUCUAAGGUGACUGCCGGUGACAAACCGGA
RNAcentral lists this ribosomal RNA (611 nucleotides) under Bacillus pumilus. RNAcentral describes it as "bacterial SSU rRNA". It matches the Rfam family "Bacterial small subunit ribosomal RNA", at positions 555 to 1167 of the family's 1533-position model. The record is from RNAcentral. Lineage: Bacteria; Bacillati; Bacillota; Bacilli; Caryophanales; Bacillaceae.